UCCCUACGGGACGCAGCAGUGGGGGAUAUUGCACAAUGGGGGGAACCCUGAUGCAGCGACGCCGCGUGGGUGAAGAAGCGCCUCGGCGCGUAAAGCCCUGUCAGCAGGGAAGAAAAUGACGGUAACUGAAGAAGAAGCCCCGGCUAACUACGUGCCAGCAGCCGCGGGAAUACGUAGGGGGCAAGCGUUAUCCGGAUUUACUGGGUGUAAAGGGGGCGCAGACGGCGAGGCCAGCACGGAGUGAAAGACCGGG
Molecule: ribosomal RNA, 253 nt
Filed under: uncultured bacterium
Lineage: Bacteria
Description: partial 16S ribosomal RNA
Rfam family: Bacterial small subunit ribosomal RNA
Source: RNAcentral